AUUGAACGCUGGCGGCAGGCCUAACACAUGCAAGUCGAGCGGAUGAAGGGAGCUUGCUCCUGGAUUCAGCGGCGGACGGGUGAGUAAUGCCUAGGAAUCUGCCUGGUAGUGGGGGAUAACGUCCGGAAACGGGCGCUAAUACCGCAUACGUCCUGAGGGAGAAAGUGGGGGAUCUUCGGACCUCACGCUAUCAGAUGAGCCUAGGUCGGAUUAGCUAGUUGGUGGGGUAAAGGCCUACCAAGGCGACGAUCCGUAACUGGUCUGAGAGGAUGAUCAGUCACACUGGAACUGAGACACGGUCCAGACUCCUACGGGAGGCAGAGGUGGGGAAAAUUGGACAAUGGGCGAAAGCCUGAUCCAGCCAUGCCGCGUGUGUGAAGAAGGUCUUCGGAUUGUAAAGCACUUUAAGUUGGGAGGAAGGGCAGUAAGUUAAUACCUUGCUGUUUUGACGUUACCAACAGAAUAAGCGCCGGCUAACUUCGUG
RNAcentral lists this ribosomal RNA (484 nucleotides) under uncultured bacterium. RNAcentral describes it as "partial 16S ribosomal RNA". It matches the Rfam family "Bacterial small subunit ribosomal RNA", at positions 30 to 507 of the family's 1533-position model. The record is from RNAcentral.